RNAcentral lists this ribosomal RNA (274 nucleotides) under uncultured bacterium. RNAcentral's name for it is "partial 16S ribosomal RNA". It matches the Rfam family "Bacterial small subunit ribosomal RNA", at positions 523 to 796 of the family's 1533-position model. The record is from RNAcentral.
AUACGGAGAGUGCAAACGUUGUUCGGAAUCACUGGGCGUAAAGGGCGCGCAGGCGGUUUGAUUAGUCAGAUGUGAAAGCCCACGGCUUAACCGUGGAAGUGCAUUUGAAACUGUCAGACUUGAGUACCAGAGGGGGUAGUGGAAUUCCCGGUGUAGAGGUGAAAUUCGUAGAUAUCGGGAGGAAUACCGGUGGCGAAGGCGACUACCUGGCUGGAUACUGACGCUGAGGCGCGAAAGCGUGGGGAGCAAACAGGAUUAGAAACCCCUGUAGUCC